AUGGCUAAAUACACCAAGUUGGUUGGGACUGUCAAGAAACAUGGGAUCUGCUAUGGUGCCUCCCUCCAGAAAAUGGUGAAGAAAAUUGAAAUUAGCCAUCAUGCCAAGUACAUUUGGUCCUUCUGUGGCACUGUGGUUCCUGCAUGAAAACAAUGGCAAGCCUGGACCUGCAACAACACUUCUACCAUCUUGCCUGCCAUCAGAAGACUCAGGGAACUGAAAGAUCAG
This 228-nucleotide long non-coding RNA is filed under the name Mus musculus (house mouse). RNAcentral describes it as "long non-coding RNA chr4:41252616-41252844". Lineage: Eukaryota; Metazoa; Chordata; Mammalia; Rodentia; Muridae. The record is from RNAcentral.